Molecule: long non-coding RNA, 998 nt
Filed under: Homo sapiens (human)
Lineage: Eukaryota; Metazoa; Chordata; Mammalia; Primates; Hominidae
Description: long intergenic non-protein coding RNA 158
Source: RNAcentral
AUGACUUCAUCAGGCACUGCUAUCAUGGGGCACUGGUAACAAAUAAAUAUCACUUUGGAGGCCAUGUGCAGAUCAGAUUUGGAAGUGACCAAGACUGGAGGCAGGGACACCAGAGUUUUCUGUUAAAAACUGGUCCAUGCAAGAAAAGAUGACUCCUGAAAUAAGACAGUGAUCAUUAGGAUGAAGAGGAAGAGAAGAUUUGAGGAAUACUUAGAACAGAAUUUACUGAAUUUACUGGUUGAAUUGAAUGUGAAGAGGAGAUGAAUAAAGAAGAAAACACCCUCAAAGGAACAAAUAUGAAACAAUCUCUGGAAAAUGGAAUUUGAUUUUGAUUCAACAACAGGAGAAUUCUACUGUUUUUCUCCAGCAGCUCCACGAUAAAAGGGAACCCUGAGCAGAACACAUGCACAAACUCAUGCCAUACCCUAAGGGACAAGGUUCCCCACAUCUACUUGGAAAUCUUUGGGAUGCUCAAUGGAGAAAAACAAGGAGAGAAAAAUCUAAACCCAGCAGAAGAGAAAGUUUAAGAAAGCGGUCGUCGCCAAUACCAAAAUUAGCUAUGAUAUUCAGGAAGAAAAAAAUGGAAACACGAUAACCACAGUCAAUAAAGACCAAGGCCACAUUCCAUUGACCAGAGCUCAGCCACGCGCCACACCUGGCUAAAGAGACUCUGGCUGAAGAAUUCCCUGAAUAUUUUAAUGUAGCUCUAGGUUAUAACACAGAACAACCACAAGGUGGCAGAAGAACUCCAUUCUUGUAAAUCUCUUAGUUGCUUCUUUAUUUCAUCUUCCCUAUUCCAUCUAAUGUUCCCUGAAUUUUACUAUUUUGUUGGUUUGAAAAUAUGUGUGACUUACGUCCUUUAAAGGAUUUGGUUCGUAAGGUUUUGAAUAGACUGGAAUAUAAAACAUUUAUAGAAAAGAAAAAUACCUACAGUAUGAUGUUAGUGAACUAUUAAUAAUCCAAUUAAAUAAAAUAUAUUUGCUUUGGAUUAAUACAUA